Molecule: transfer RNA, 71 nt
Filed under: Felis catus (domestic cat)
Lineage: Eukaryota; Metazoa; Chordata; Mammalia; Carnivora; Felidae
Also listed under: 2 other names
Rfam family: tRNA
About the family: Transfer RNA (tRNA) molecules are approximately 80 nucleotides in length. Their secondary structure includes four short double-helical elements and three loops (D, anti-codon, and T loops).
Source: Rfam by way of RNAcentral
GGCAAAAUCCUAAAGUAGAAAGAGCAUAGUUUUUAGAACAAGAAACUUAGGUUUGAAUCCCAAUUUUGCCA